UACGUAGGGGGCAAGCGUUGUCCGGAUUUACUGGGUGUAAAGGGUGCUCAGGUGGUUAUGCAAGUCAGAGGUGAAAUCCUAGGGCUUAACUCUGGAACUGCCUUUGAUACUGCAUAGCUUGUGUACGGAAGAGGCUGAUGGAAUUCCUGGUGUAGCAGUGAAAUGCGUAGAUAUCAGGAAGAACACCAGUGGCGAAGGCGGUCAGCUGGUCCGUUACAGACACUCAAGCACGAAAGCGUGGGGAGCAAACAGG
This 253-nucleotide ribosomal RNA is filed under the name uncultured Ignavibacterium sp. RNAcentral's name for it is "partial 16S ribosomal RNA". It matches the Rfam family "Bacterial small subunit ribosomal RNA", at positions 524 to 776 of the family's 1533-position model. The record is from RNAcentral. Lineage: Bacteria; Pseudomonadati; Ignavibacteriota; Ignavibacteria; Ignavibacteriales; Ignavibacteriaceae.